ACUCCUACGGGAGGCAGCAGUGGGGAAUUUUGGACAAUGGGCGAAAGCCUGAUCCAGCCAUGCCGCGUGAGUGAAGAAGGCCUUUGGGUUGUAAAGCUCUUUUAGUCGGAAAGAAAGAGUUGCAAUGAAUAAUUGUGAUUUAUGACGGUACCGACAGAAAAAGCACCGGCUAACUACGUGCCAGCGCCGCGGUAAU
Molecule: ribosomal RNA, 196 nt
Filed under: uncultured anaerobic ammonium-oxidizing bacterium
Lineage: Bacteria
Description: partial 16S ribosomal RNA
Rfam family: Bacterial small subunit ribosomal RNA
Source: RNAcentral